This 256-nucleotide ribosomal RNA is filed under the name uncultured bacterium. Its description in RNAcentral is "partial 16S ribosomal RNA". It matches the Rfam family "Bacterial small subunit ribosomal RNA", at positions 526 to 779 of the family's 1533-position model. The record is from RNAcentral.
CGUAGGUGGCAAGCGUUGUCCGGAAUUAUUGGGCGUAAAGCGCGCGCAGGCGGUCUUUUAAGUCUGAUGUGAAAGCCCACGGCUCAACCGUGGAGGGUCAUUGGAAACUAGGAAGACUUGAGUGCAGAAGAGGAGAGUGGAAUUCCACGUGUAGCGGUGAAAUAGCGUGGAGAUGUGGAGGAACACCAGUGGCGAAGGCGACUCUCUGGUCUGUAACUGACGCUGAGGCGCGAAAGCGUGGGGAGCAAACAGGAUU